UAUCCUUAUCUUCCGAUUUACCUUUUCCAUUUCAGAUAGUUACAUUGAAUGAUAUCUCCACAUCCCUUUCUUUGAUCUUCAAUUCAACCAAAUUUUUGAACAUAUGGUGUAAGUUUUGAAUUGGUGAAGUAACUUGAUUUUCACGUGACCACUUGAAGCUUGAUUGACUUUUAGUGUAAAUGCCACUAGACUGUCAUUUGGUUUGCAAGGCUUUCUUCUUCAGUCGAAAUACCCACAAUCUUUUAGUACAGCACAAGAAUAAUCGAACAAUGUUUUCCUUCUUCUUCUCCACCUCUAUUAGUUUCACAAUUCCCUCAAAAACAUUUUAGGCAUCAUUGUUUAUUUGGGUAUUCAUGCAACCUAUGUCCAAGCUGUCUACAACUGUGGCAAAUACACAUGUUCUUUCUUGCCAUUUAUCAAUUCAACUUAAGCAAUGAUAACUUCAGAGUUACAAUUCAAAUACACAACAUUGUAAU
This 476-nucleotide long non-coding RNA is filed under the name Olea europaea subsp. europaea. Lineage: Eukaryota; Viridiplantae; Streptophyta; Magnoliopsida; Lamiales; Oleaceae. The record is from RNAcentral.